RNAcentral lists this transfer RNA (67 nucleotides) under Allobates granti. Its description in RNAcentral is "tRNA-Tyr". It matches the Rfam family "tRNA". From Rfam's summary of the family: Transfer RNA (tRNA) molecules are approximately 80 nucleotides in length. Lineage: Eukaryota; Metazoa; Chordata; Amphibia; Anura; Aromobatidae. The record is from RNAcentral.
GGUAAGGUGGCCGAGAAGGUAGUGGGUUGUAACCCCAAGCACGGAGGUUCUAGUCCUCCCCUUAUCA